Molecule: long non-coding RNA, 754 nt
Filed under: Chinchilla lanigera (long-tailed chinchilla)
Lineage: Eukaryota; Metazoa; Chordata; Mammalia; Rodentia; Chinchillidae
Description: lncRNA (ENSCLAG00000028104.1)
Source: RNAcentral
GCGCCACCUCCUCCCGGAGGCCUCCAUCUACCUCCCCACGGCCUUGGGCUCGUGACGGUACUGCUUGUACGGCGGGCUGCGCCUGUCAGCACCAGGUCCCGGAGGAACCGAGUCCGUAUCUGGUUGCCCAGGGCUCGUCCCGGCUCAGCCCUGUGCUCACAGUGCCGGGGGUCGAGCAUUCACCCCACUCGCGCUCCGGUGAGCCAUCGGGCCACGCAGCCAGCUUCUCGCGUCCCUCGGACGACCCACGAGGCCCUUGCUACUAAACGAAGCCUACGCCGCCACCCUGUCCCCUGUCACGCAGUCCCCCUGUUUCAGGGUUUUCAAGGGCACCGAGCGCGUACGCGUCCUCAUAGGAGCAGGAAGCGCGAGGAAGUGUCGUUCGAGCUUCUGCCAGCAGAGGGCGGCAGAGUCGCGGGCCAGCGGCCGCUGCGGUCUCUUCCGCGGGGCGGGGGGCUGGCGACGCCGCGGCGGGGACAACCAGGCUCGCGGUGACCCGAUAGGGGGCGCUGCCCGAGACCGGCAACUCGGGCCACCGGCGAGCGCGGCCCGUUCUGAGGCGGCGAGGACACUAGCCACCCUCCCGUCCUGUCCCCAUCAGAAGCCACACGCAGCCCCGGCCCACCAACCUGUGCUAAAGGUGACUCAAGACCACCUCGCUAAACUUGAUUUCAGCGGUUUUACAGUGGAGUCCCAGGCUGCUAGAGCUCAAAGAGCCCUGGGACAUUUCCUACAGCGACAGUCUCUUUCCCCA